GCACCCGUAGCUCAAUGGAUAGAGCGCCUGACUUCGAAUCAGUAGGCUGGAGGUUCGAGUCCCUCCGGGUGCGCCA
This 76-nucleotide transfer RNA is filed under the name Chloroflexota bacterium. Its description in RNAcentral is "Chloroflexi bacterium tRNA-Arg". It matches the Rfam family "tRNA". Rfam says of the family: Transfer RNA (tRNA) molecules are approximately 80 nucleotides in length. Their secondary structure includes four short double-helical elements and three loops (D, anti-codon, and T loops). Further hydrogen bonds mediate the characteristic L-shaped molecular structure. tRNAs have two regions of fundamental functional importance: the anti-codon, which is responsible for specific mRNA codon recognition, and the 3' end, to which the tRNAs corresponding amino acid is attached (by aminoacyl-tRNA synthetases). tRNAs cope with the degeneracy of the genetic code in two manners: having more than one tRNA (with a specific anti-codon) for a particular amino acid; and 'wobble' base-pairing, i.e. permitting non-standard base-pairing at the 3rd anti-codon position. The record is from RNAcentral. Lineage: Bacteria; Bacillati; Chloroflexota.